This 378-nucleotide ribosomal RNA is filed under the name Nymphon micronyx. Its description in RNAcentral is "SSU rRNA". It matches the Rfam family "Eukaryotic small subunit ribosomal RNA", at positions 1438 to 1810 of the family's 1831-position model. The record is from RNAcentral. Lineage: Eukaryota; Metazoa; Arthropoda; Pycnogonida; Pantopoda; Nymphonidae.
ACGGAGAUUGAGCAAUAACAGGUCUGUGAUGCCCUUAGAUGUCCGGGGCCGCACGCGCGCUACACUGAAGGGAUCAGCGUGUAUAUACCCCUGUCCGAUAGGACUGGGUAACCCGCUGAACCCCCUUCGUGAUGGGGAUAGGGGCUUGUAAUUAUUCCCCUUGAACGAGGAAUUCCCAGUAAGCGCGAGUCAUAAGCUCGCGUUGAUUACGUCCCUGCCCUUUGUACACACCGCCCGUCGCUACUACCGAUUGAAUGAUUUAGUGAGGUCUUCGGACCUGCGGUCGUCGCGGCCUCGUGCCUGCAACGGUUCGCGGGGAAGAUGCCCAAACUUGAUCAUUUAGAGGGAAGUAAAAGUCGUAACAAGGUUUCCGUAGGU